RNAcentral lists this ribosomal RNA (441 nucleotides) under uncultured bacterium. RNAcentral describes it as "partial 16S ribosomal RNA". It matches the Rfam family "Bacterial small subunit ribosomal RNA", at positions 339 to 795 of the family's 1533-position model. The record is from RNAcentral.
CUACGGGGUGCACCAGUGGGGAAUAUUGGGCAAUGGGCGCAAGCCUGACCCAGCAACGCCGCGUGAGGGAAGAAGGUUUUCGGAUUGUAAACCUCUGUCCUUGGGGACGAAGAAGUGACGGUACCCAAGGAGGAAGCUCCGGCUAACUACGUGCCAGCAGCCGCGGUAAUACGUAGGGAGCGAGCGUUGUCCGGAAUUACUGGGCGUAAAGGGUGCGUAGGCGGCAUAUUAAGUCAGGUGUGAAAUACCCGGGCUCAACCCGGGGGGUGCAUUUGAAACUGAUACGCUGGAGUGUGAGAGAGGAAAGUGGAAUUCCUAGUGUAGCGGUGAAAUGCGUAGAUAUUAGGAGGAACACCAGUGGCGAAGGCGACUUUCUGGCUCAUAACUGACGCUGAGGCACGAAAGCGUGGGGAGCAAACAGGAUUAGAUACCCCAGUAGUC